RNAcentral lists this long non-coding RNA (1128 nucleotides) under Medicago truncatula (barrel medic). Its description in RNAcentral is "long non-coding RNA (MTRU_LNC007741)". Lineage: Eukaryota; Viridiplantae; Streptophyta; Magnoliopsida; Fabales; Fabaceae. The record is from RNAcentral.
UGUUGACCAAGUUCGGUCCAACUUGACCUAAUCUGGGGAAGAGAUGGAUCUCUCCAAUCCACUAUCAAUGAGUUCUUACAAAGGGAUACAAAUGGGUUACAAAAAUUUAGCUUAAACAAACUCACAAAGAACAACCCUAAUUUCUACCCAUUUUCCCAAUCUCACAAAUGAACAAGACACUCAAUGAUUUUCACUCACCCAAGGUGUUUACAAUGUUUCCCAACCCAAGAGAACUCUAAUCAAAGACCCUCGACCCUAAAGUUACCUCCUUUGAUUUCCCAAGUUUUCCUCUCUUGAAGUUCUCUCUCCUCCUUCUUCAAAAAUGACAACCUUAUCCACAAAUCGCGCCACGCCCGCACAAAAUCGCGCCAUGAUUUCCUUCAGCAGAAACUAUCCAUUCUGCCAGCAAAAUCGCGCCAUGCCUCUGAAAAUCACGCCACGAUUUUCAGCUUUCACAACAUCACAAUUUGAAGACAAUUUCAACAAUUAUUUCAGACUUUCAUCAUAACAAAUUUCAAAACUCAAAUAAAAGUUAUUGAAUCGUAACAAUUAUCCACAAUCGAGAUUUUCAUGUCGGGUAUAAAAUUUAAACUCAAAUAUGAAUUUAUGACUAAAUUCAAAUAAACUUAAAAGACUUAAUGCAUACAUUUGAUUUGAAUGUAAAAGCCACUAGGGUUUGGAGUUAGGUAUCACGGACUCUUUAUUGCUACUUUUGUACCUUUUUUUUCAUAUAGAAAGAUCAAAUCCACAUCAAUAAAACAAGCUAAAAUCUCAAAGGGAAAGCUAUCACUUUCUCUUUUUUUUCCCUUCCCCCCUUUGAACUGGUUUCCACACAAAUCCUCGGGCUUUGCUAGUUUGACACAAAAAUCAAACAAAAUCUACUUGGCUUCAUGAUUCUCCACUUUCAUAUUGUUUCUUUUGGUAACUUUUGUUUCCUUUCGUCUUGUUCUUUUUCUCACUUCUGUAAUUUACUUUUUACUCAUCGUAUUAAAAGUAGAGAAAAUUAAAGUAGAUAAAGAAUAAUAAUAUUUUGGGGUCCCCUACUUAGCUUUAGAAGGCAAUAAUAAGAUCAUGAUUUCUUGUAAGAAGCACCAACCAAUCACAAAACGUUACGCAAUGAGACUCAUG